GAUUAACGCUAGCGGCAGGCCUAAUACAUGCAAGUCGAGGGGCAGCGCGGUAGCAAUACUGGCGGCGACCGGCGCACGGGUGCGUAACACGUAUGCAACCUACCUUCAACUGGAGGAUAGCCCGGGGAAACUCGGAUUAAUACUCCAUAACACAGGGAUCCCGCAUGGGAAUAUUGUUAAAGCUACGGCGGUUGAAGAUGGGCAUGCGUUCGAUUAGCUAGUUGGUGAGGUAACGGCUCACCAAGGCUACGAUCGGUAGCUGGUCUGAGAGGAUGAUCAGCCACAUUGGGACUGAGACACGGCCCAAACUCCUACGGGAGUCAGCAGUGGGGAAUAUUGGACAAUGGGCGCAAGCCUGAUCCAGCCAUGCCGCGUGAGUGAUGAAGGCCUUAGGGUUGUAAAGCUCUUUGUCCGGGAAGAUAAUGACUGUACCGGAAGAAUAAG
This 444-nucleotide ribosomal RNA is filed under the name uncultured bacterium. Its description in RNAcentral is "bacterial SSU rRNA". It matches the Rfam family "Bacterial small subunit ribosomal RNA", at positions 28 to 490 of the family's 1533-position model. The record is from RNAcentral.